CAGUAGCCGCGGGAAAACAGAGGGUGCGAGCGUUAAUCGGAUUUACUGGGCGUAAAGCGUGCGUAGGCGGCUAAUUGAGUCGGAUGUGAAAUCCCCGAGCUUAACUUGGGAAUUGCAUUCGAUACUGGUUAGCUAGAGUGUGGGAGAGGAUGGUAGAAUUCCAGGUGUAGCGGUGAAAUGCGUAGAGAUCUGGAGGAAUACCGGUGGCGAAGGCGGCCCCCUGGACAAAGACUGACGCUCAGGUGCGAAAGCGUGGGGAGCAAACAGGAUUAGAGACCCCAGUAGUCCCUGUCUCUUAUAC
This 301-nucleotide ribosomal RNA is filed under the name uncultured bacterium. RNAcentral's name for it is "partial 16S ribosomal RNA". It matches the Rfam family "Bacterial small subunit ribosomal RNA", at positions 509 to 807 of the family's 1533-position model. The record is from RNAcentral.